This 787-nucleotide long non-coding RNA is filed under the name Vigna radiata. RNAcentral describes it as "long non-coding RNA (VRAD_LNC015471)". The record is from RNAcentral. Lineage: Eukaryota; Viridiplantae; Streptophyta; Magnoliopsida; Fabales; Fabaceae.
AGUGGAGAAAUGAGAAAUGUUUAGAAGGGUUUAGAGGAGAAUGGGAUAACUGUAUCGACAAGUCAUUCCUCAUAAUCCUUAAAGGAGAUGUGACAUGAGAAUGUCAGGGUGAACACGAGAUACACAAAGGGUGUCCCAGCUUGGUGUUACGGAAAAUGAGCUGGGGUUUGGAUUCAUGAAAAUUAGGGUGAAAAUUCAAAGGAGGUCCGUAAAGCUGCCUCAGUCUUGGGAUUAUGGGUCGAUGAAUUUCAGGGCGAAGACUUCGCGUGAGAUUCACAAAGCUGCCCUUGUUUUUCUUUGGCGCGUGGUUCUGUUUGGAAGAGGUAGUGGGUAUGAAAAGGAUAGGUUAAAAGGAUGACCCCCAAUUGGUUUGAUUUCCUUUUGCCAUGCUUUUGGUUAGAUGGUAGGGUGAUCCCUCUUCCCGAGACAUAACCUUUUUUCUUCUCUCUUUUUUUUCUUUUUUUUCAAUUUUUUUUUACGACGCUGUGAAAGUCACCUUAUCGCAAACUUAAGCUUUAUGAAAAUUUGAGCAAUCAUUAUCCAAUCAGUGUGGACUUUAUCAGGCUUGUAACGUGGCUAGGGGCUAAAAGGCAUUGAAAGAAAGGGUAUGAAGGCUCAAAUGAAUGUUUGUCGGUUAUAUUCUUUGCAACAAAGGUUAUCAUCAUCUAGACAUUGCAUCAACUAUUUGACCUUUUGAGCACUUUGCUUUUUUCUUGAACUUCGUUUUUCAUUCUUUUUGCUCAACAUCACUUUGUGACUUUUUGUUCUUUUGUUUUUGUUUAUGUUU